UCAUCCCUUUUGACUCCUGUGUUUAGGAUGACUCAGGGUUAAACUGUCAACCCUGAUGAGAUCAUCCGAAUCGUGCUCAACUCAAUUAGUCCUAUGACUCCUCACUAGGACUACCCUGGCCAAGGUUUUGCUAAAUUGAAACACGACUGUACACAACUCCUAAACUGGAGUGGUCAAUCCCAUCUUGACACACGCACCGACAAGUAAGUACUUGACUACACCCAGCA
This 227-nucleotide long non-coding RNA is filed under the name Elaeis guineensis (African oil palm). RNAcentral's name for it is "long non-coding RNA (EGUI_LNC053539)". The record is from RNAcentral. Lineage: Eukaryota; Viridiplantae; Streptophyta; Magnoliopsida; Arecales; Arecaceae.